CCUACGGGAGGCAGCAGUGGGGAAUAUUGCACAAUGGGGGGAACCCUGAUGCAGCGACGCCGCGUGAGUGAUGGAGUACUUCGGUACGUAAAGCUCUAUCAGCAGGGAAGAAAAUGACGGUACCUGACUAAGAAGCCCCGGCGAACUACGUGCCAGACGCCGCGGUACUACGUAGGGGGCAAGCUUUAUCCGGAUUUACUGGGUGUAAAGGGAGCGUAGAGGGCUGGGCAGGUCCGAGGUGAACGCCUGGGGCUCAACCCGUGAACUGCCAUGGAAACUGUAAAGCUGGAGUGCGGGAGGGGUAGGCGGAAUUCGUGGUGUAGCGGUGAAAUGCGUAGAUAUCAGGAGGAACACCGAUGGCGAAGGCGGCCUGCUGGACCGUGACUGACGUUGAGGCUCGAAAGCGUGGGGAGCAAACAGGAUUAGAUACCCCAGUAGUC
RNAcentral lists this ribosomal RNA (440 nucleotides) under uncultured bacterium. RNAcentral describes it as "partial 16S ribosomal RNA". It matches the Rfam family "Bacterial small subunit ribosomal RNA", at positions 338 to 795 of the family's 1533-position model. The record is from RNAcentral.